AAUACAACUCUCAGCAACGGAUAUCUUGGCUCUUGCAACGAUGAAGAACGCAGCGAAAUGCGAUACGUAGUGUGAAUUGCAGAAUUCCGUGAAUCAUCGAGUUUUUGAACGCAAGUUGCGCCCGAGGCUCGUCCGAGGGCAUUCCUGCCAGAGCGUCAUC
Molecule: ribosomal RNA, 160 nt
Filed under: Physcomitrium patens
Lineage: Eukaryota; Viridiplantae; Streptophyta; Bryopsida; Funariales; Funariaceae
Also listed under: 13 other names
Description: 5.8S ribosomal RNA
Rfam family: 5.8S ribosomal RNA
About the family: 5.8S ribosomal RNA (5.8S rRNA) is a component of the large subunit of the eukaryotic ribosome. It is transcribed by RNA polymerase I as part of the 45S precursor that also contains 18S and 28S rRNA. Functionally, it is thought that 5.8S rRNA may be involved in ribosome translocation.
Source: RNAcentral